AUGGAGCUGUUCGCGCACGCCAAGGCGGUGCGGCUGAAGAGCCGGCACGACAAGUUCCUGUACGCGGACGAGGACGAGCUGCACGUCACGCAGGACCGCAACGGCUCCUCCCCGAGCGCGCGCUGGACGGUGGAGCCCGUGCCGCACGCGCCCGGCGCGGUGCGCCUCCGCAGCAGGUACGGCCGCUACCUGGCCGCCUCCACGGAGCCGUUCCUGCUGGGCAUGACGGGCCGCAAGGUGCUGCAGGCGGCCGCGGCGCCCGGGGGCCGCCCCGACGCGUCCGUCGAGUGGGAGCCCGUCCGCGACGGCUUCCAGGUGCGCCUCAAGUCCCGCGCCGGCGGCGUCCGCGGGGGCGGGGACAAGUACCUCCGCGCCAACGGGGGCGUCCCGCCCUGGCGCAACUCCGUCACCCACGACGUGCCGCACCGCACCGCCACCCAGGACUGGGUGCUCUGGGACGUCGAGAUCGUGCAGGUGCUCACCCCCGGCCCGGCCACGCCCGCGCCCGAGAAGGCCGCGUCGGCGCCCCCCGCCGCCCUCGCGCCGGACUCGCCGCCCGCGCCCAAGCUCAGGCCCGCCCCCACCCCCUACGAGGCGCACCACCGGCCCACCAAGUCCCAGACGUCCCCGCCGCCGCCGGACUACGCGCCGCCCCCGCCGCCCAAGCCCAAGCCGGAGCCCAGGCUCUCCAAGCUGGAGUCUUCCGAUUCAUUCUCUGCCCCGUUGCACAAGGUGCAGGGUCGUGCGAUCCACUACCACAUUGCAGACGAUAAGGGCGACGUGGACGAUGAUAUCGAGAGACGCUCAUUCACGUUUAAUGGCUCUAACCUGGAGGAGCUCACCCAGAAGUUACAAGAGGAAACAGGCAUCGAUGAUCUGAUCGUCUGCACACGCAGCCCAAUCAGCGGGAAGCUCACUCCUCUCCUUCUGCAGCUGCCUCCGAACAAUGCAGCGAUGCACAUUGUGCUCGUCCGUGAGUCCUCAAAAGUGGCGAAGACAUUCCCAUGGCCGUACGGCUCAUAA
Molecule: ribosomal RNA, 1023 nt
Filed under: Triticum aestivum (bread wheat)
Lineage: Eukaryota; Viridiplantae; Streptophyta; Magnoliopsida; Poales; Poaceae
Description: partial small subunit ribosomal RNA
Source: RNAcentral